Molecule: ribosomal RNA, 896 nt
Filed under: uncultured archaeon
Lineage: Archaea
Description: bacterial SSU rRNA
Rfam family: Archaeal small subunit ribosomal RNA
Source: RNAcentral
ACCUGACUGCUAUCGGAUUGGUACUAAGCCAUGUGAGUCAUUGUAGCAAUACAAGGCAUACGGCUCAGUAACACGUAGUCAAUCUGCCCUAUGGACGUGGAUAACCUCGGGAAACUGAGAAUAAUCCGCGAUAGAUCAUAAUGCCUGGAACGGUUUAUGGUCCAAAUGAUUCGUCGCCAUAGGAUGGGACUGCGGCCUAUCAGCUUGUUGGUGAGGUAAUGGCCCACCAAGGCUAUUACAGGUACGGGCUCUGAGAGGAGAAGCCCGGAGAUGGGUACUGAGACACGGACCCAGGCCCUAUGGGGCGCAGCAGGCGAGAAACCUUUGCAAUGUGCGCAAGCACGACAAGGUUAAUCCGAGUGUUUCCUGCUAAAGGAAUCUUUUGUUAGUUCUAAAACCACUGAUGAAUAAGGGGUGGGCAAGUUCUGGUGUCAGCCGCCGCGGUAAAACCAGCACCUCAAGUGGUCAGGAGGAUUAUUGGGCCUAAAGCAUCCGUAGCCGGUUCUGUAAGUUUUCGGUUAAAUCCACUAGCUCAACUAAUGGGCUGCCGGAAAUACUGCAGAACUAGGGAGUGGGAGAGGUAGACGGUACUCGGGAGGAAGGGGUAAAAUCCUUUGAUCUCUUGAUGACCACCUGUGGCGAAGGCGGUCUACCAGAACACGUUCGACGGUGAGGGAUGAAAGCUGGGGGAGCAAACCGGAUUAGAUACCCGGGUAGUCCCAGCUGUAAACGAUGCAGACUCGGUGAUGCACUGGCUUUUGGCCAGUGCAGUGCCGCAGGGAAGCCGUUAAGUUUGCCGCCUGGGAAGUACGUACGCAAGUAUGAAACUUAAAGGAAUUGGCGGGGGAGCACCACAAGGGGUGAAGCCUGCGGUUCAAUUGGAUUCAACGCCGGAA